GGGCCCGCACAAGCAGUGGAGUAUGUGGUUUAAUUCGAAGCAACGCGAAGAACCUUACCAGGGCUUGACAUCUACCGAAUCUUCUAGAGAUAGAGGAGUGCCUUCGGGAGCGGUAAGACAGGUGGUGCAUGGUUGUCGUCAGCUCGUGUCGUGAGAUGUUGGGUUAAGUCCCGCAACGAGCGCAACCCUUGUUGUUAGUUGCUACCAUUAAGUUGAGCACUCUAGCAAGACUGCCGGUGACAAAUCGGAGGAAGGUGGGGACGACGUCAAAUCAUCAUGCCCCUUAUGUCCUGGGCUACACACGUACUACAAUGGCUGUUAACAGAGGGAAGCGAUACAGUGAUGUGGAGCAAAUCCCUAAAAGCAGUCCCAGUUCAGAUUGUAGGCUGCAACUCGCCUACAUGAAGUCGGAAUUGCUAGUAAUCGCGGAUCAGCAUGCCGCGGUGAAUACGUUCCCGGGCCUU
RNAcentral lists this ribosomal RNA (464 nucleotides) under uncultured bacterium. Its description in RNAcentral is "bacterial SSU rRNA". It matches the Rfam family "Bacterial small subunit ribosomal RNA", at positions 917 to 1382 of the family's 1533-position model. The record is from RNAcentral.